Molecule: RNA transcript, 7359 nt
Organism: Onychostoma macrolepis
Lineage: Eukaryota; Metazoa; Chordata; Actinopteri; Cypriniformes; Cyprinidae
Gene: tprb
Gene name: translocated promoter region b, nuclear basket protein
Exons: 42
Source: RefSeq, a predicted model, not a curated record
UUACACCGAAAAAAUGGCGGCUGUGUUACAGCAGAUAUUGGAGCGGUCGGAGAUAUCAAAACUCCCCAAAACUGUCUUAACUAAAUUAGAGAAGUAUGUUUCUGAACAGCAGUGUGAAGUUGAUUGUCUGAAGGCACAACAGGAGCAAUAUCGUGUGGAUAAUGAACAACAGUAUUUUGACAUCGAGAGGAAGUUUGCAGAGAGUCAGACUCAGUUUGUGUCCCAGACUCAAGAUCAUGAGAUACUGAAAGAAGAGUACUGCAAACUGGAGGAUGAGCUGAAAUCCUUACGAGAGAAAAAUAAGGCACAAGUGUCUUCAUACACCAAACUAGAAUCACAUCAGAACGAACUUUCCAAAGCCAAAGAUGAGCUUGAGGCCGAAAAACGAGAGCUUGUGCGGACAUUGGAAAGAAGAUCCCAGGAGAUGGAACAACAAAGCGAGGACCUGAAGCGUCUUAAUGAUAGAUUGGUGGAAGUCAGUUCAGAGAAGAUGCAGCUUCAGCUCAAGCUGGAUGAGUCAGAAGCCACUGAGGUCUCGAUCAAGUAUAAAGAGAAACGAAUGGUGCAGGAGAAAGAACUACUCCAGAAUCAGGUGUCCUGGCUGAAUACUGAGCUUAAGGCCAAGAGUGAAGAGCUGCUGUCUCUUUCCCGGCAGAAAGGCAGUGAGAUCCUGGAGCUCCAAUGCAACCUUAAUAACAAAGAGGAUGAAAUCGCUCACCUGCAAGAUCAGGUCUCCAGUCUGAAGGCAUCCAAUGAGAACCUUCAGAGGCAAGCAGAGGAGAUGAUCACCAAGAUGAGAGAGGCAAAGGAACAGCAAGCCAGUUUGGAGGAGAAGUUCAGUAAUGAGCUCAAUGCCAACAUCAAACUCUCAAAUUUGUACAAGGGAGCUGCAGCUGAUGCAGAGGCCAAGAGUGAGGAGCUCGGCAGAGCUGUUGAUGAACUUCACAAGCUGCUUAAAGAGGCUGGAGAGGCACAUAAAGCUCUAGAAGUGAAGAUGGCAGAGCUGGAGAGUUGUAAGGACAAAGAAAUCGCUGAACUGAAAGAGAAAAUAAGCAGCCAGGAGAAAGAACUGGAUAAUGCAAAUGAGCUGCUAUCUGAUGCCAAACACAGAGGAACUUCUUCAAUUCUUUCAGAGGAGCAGGUGACCACAAUGUCUCCCACAGCAGCUGCAGUUGCCAAAAUUAUCAAACCGGGCAUGAAACUUACAGAGAUAUAUACAGCUUAUGUUGAGACCCAAGAACAGCUACAACGAGAGAAACUAGAGAACAAACGACUGCACAAGUACCUGGAUGACAUUGUGCAGGAGAUGGAAGCCAAGGCGCCCAUCCUGAAGAGACAGAGAGAGGAGUAUGAGCGCAUUCAGAAGUCUGUUUCCAGUCUCUCUGCUAAAUUAGAGCAAGCUGUCACGGAGCUCCACCGCUUGCAGAGAGAAGCAGAUGAAAGCAACAAACGUGCAUCUGUGUUGGAGAGAGAUAACCAGAGGUUUGAGGUGCAGCUGGCUGACAUGUCUCAACAGGUGCGGGUUCUCCUUAUUGAGCUGGAGGAAGCGCGUGGUAACCAUGUGAUGCGUGAGGAGGAUGAGGUGUGUUCUGCGGAUGUGAGCAGCACAUCAGAGGUGAUUUCUCAACACCUGGUCACCUUCCGCAGUGUUGAAGAACUGCAGCAGCAGAACCAGCGACUCCUAGUGGCACUCAGAGACCUCAGUGAGGAAAAGGAAAAGGAUGAGUUGGAGGGAGACACCAUGAAACGGAGUGAGGUGGAGAAAUAUCUUGAGGAGCUUCAGCGUGAGUUGGAGCAGCUAAAGGAAAAGAGAGCUCAGGAUCUGCAGAAGGUUGACGCUGUGGCACGACAAAGGGAUAUGUUCCGCAUGCUUCUGACCCAGGCCACUGGAGUCCCCUUCCCACAGGGUGCUGGUAAUGAGGAGCUUAUGCUGACCUCCACCCCCCGUCGUUCUCCAGCCGUCACACCCACUGCGAGCACCCCUACAGGACUGGUUGCCACUGUGAUAGAAUCCACUGACUCAGUAGAAGCCAAGGCUGCACUGAAGCAGCUUCAGGAAGUUUUUGUGGCCUAUAAAAAGGAAAAAACUGAGUCUGAAAAAGCCCUGACUGAGCAAAGCGAGAAACUCCAGGAUCAAGUGACUGAACUCCGCUCUGAAAACACCAAGAUCUCCACACAGCUGGAGUUCACCUCCAAACGGUAUGAGAUGCUCCAGGAUAACGUGGAGAGCUACCGUAAGGAGAUUGCCUCUCUGAAUGAGAAGAGUCAGAAACAGGCUGCAGCAAUUCAGCAGAGUGAACAGACCAUACACACCCUCACCCAGGACCUCCGAGCAGCAGCUGAGAAACUCUCCAUUGCCGAGUCUGCAGCAGAGAACCUGCGUAAAGAGAGAGACAUGUUGAAGAUGGUGGAGAUCAGACUGACCCAGGAGAAAGAGUCCUUCCAGGCCCAACAGCUUGGCAAAAACAUGCUGCUGACCAACCUCAAAUCAAUACAGGCAACUCUAGAGCGCUCUGAGACAGAGACCAGACAGCGGCUGACUGCUCAGAUUGAGAAGCAGGAGCGAGAGAUUACUCAGCUCCAGAAGAGACUCGAGAAUGAGGUGGAACAGAAGCACCUGCUGGCACGCAAUCAAGACAUGCAGCUGAUGGAUGUUAAGAAGCAGCUGGAAACACAGACUUCCCAGUACCACAGGACAAGAGAGCAGCUUAGUGCUGCCCAACUUGAGCUUAACAACCUAAAGAUGCAUAUGAGUAGCAGGGAGAGCCGGCUGAUAUCCCCCACAGUACAUACAGGCCUGCAGGGCACUGAAGGUGACAUGGAGGCUCUGCGUGCCCAGCUGAAGCAGGCUGAGAGCAAGGCAGAAGAGCUGGCUGAACGACUGAAGAACACUACUGCAAGCAUGGAACAGUACAAGUCCAUGAGUCUUAGCUUAGAGGAGUCCCUGGAUAAAGAGAAACAGGUAACUGAGAAGGUGCGAUCAUCUGUGCAAACCCAGGUGGAGGCGGCUCAGGAACAGUAUAAACAGCUGGAGCAGAAACUUCUGGAAGCAGACAAGGAGAAGCAGAGCUUGCUAGAAGAGAAAAGCAAAGUUGUUGCUGCUGUGGAGCAAGAGUUGAACGAGCUGAAAAAAUCUCUAAGCAGCCUGCAGGCGGAGCACCAGACCGCCCUGGAGAGAGCUGCUGUUGCUGCUGCACAGGAGCAGCAGGCCAUCCUGGACAGUCAAGAGCAGGCUAAAAUGGCAACUGAGGCGCAGGAUAAGUAUGAGAGGGAGAUGUUGCUGCAUGCAGCUGAUGUGGAAGCACUGCAGGCUGCCAAAGCACAGACUCUGCAAGCAGCUCAUCUCAGACAGCAGCUGGAAGAGAAAGUUCAGAGCACCAGUGCACAGCUUCUAGAGGCUCGUGUCUCUUGGGAGGAGCAAGAGAAAAUUCUCAAGGAGGAGCAGUCUAAGUUAGAGUCUCGCUGUGAGGAUCUGCAGAAGCAGAACACACUCCUUCAUGAGCAGAUACAGACUCUAAGUGGACAAAUGGCCAGUCAGCUGCAGCGAGCCACCAGUGAGAGUCCACUCAACAUCUCUCUGACAGAGGAGGGCAAGUCUCAGGAGCAGCUCCUGGAGAUCUUAAGAUUUGUGCGACGGGAGAAGGAGAUCGCAGAGUCUCGGUUUGAGGUGGUCCAGGGUGAGAGUCUGAGGCACAGGCUGAGAGUGGAACAUCUGGAGAGAGAGCUGAAGGACGUGCAGGAGAGUCUGAAUGCAGAGAGAGAGAAGAUGCAGGUGACUGCAAAGACUCUGGCCCAGCAUGAUGAGCUGAUGAAGAAGACAGAGACCAUGAAUGUGCUAAUGGAGACCAAUAAGAUGCUGAGGGAGGAGAAAAAGAAACUGGAACAGGAGCUGCAGGAUACUCAAGCCAAGGUGCGUAAACUUGAGUCAGACAUCUUGCCCAUGCAGGAGUCCAAUGCAGAGCUGAGUGAGAAGAGUGGUAUGCUACAGGCAGAGAAGAAGCUUCUGGAAGAAGAUAUCAAACGCUGGAAAGCUCGCACUCAGCACCUGGUGAGCCAGCAGAAGGACACUGACCCAGAGGAGUACAAGCGGAUGCACUCUGAGAGGGAAGCGCAUCUCAAACGCAUCCAGCAGCUUGUCGAGGAGACUAGUCGGCUCAAAGCUGAAGCUUCCAGGAACAGUGGCUCUUUGACUAUGAUGCAGUCUCAGGUGCAGAACCUAAGGGAGAACUUGGGGAAGGUUUUGGUGGAGAGGGACAGCCUGAAGAAAGACCAGGAGGCUAAAAAUCUGGACAUCCAGGAGAAACUAAAAACCAUCACACAAGUUAAAAAGAUUGGUCGACGUUACAAAACCCAGUAUGAAGAGCUCAAGGUUGAAUAUGACAAGUUGGUAGCCGCAGCAGCAUCUGCACCGGCUCAGGAUCAAGAGGCACAGCAGGCAUCAGCUCAAGAACUUCAGGCCCUCAAGGAGUCCCUCAACCAAUCAGAUAACAGGACAAGAGAACUGGAAGGCCAUCUGGAGAAUCUCAAUAGAACUGUAGGUGAGCGGGAAACAGAGGCACGUAAUGCACAGGAACAGGCCUCUCGUCUACAAGCGGAGCUGACGCGUCUCAGGCAGGAGCUUCAGGAGAAAUCAUCUCAGGAGGAGCGACUCAAACAGCAGCUGACUGAAAAGGAGGAGAGGACCAAGAAGGCAAUAGUAAUGGCUAAGCAGAAGAUCAGCCAGCUUACUGGUGUAAAAGGUCAGCUCCAGAAAGAAAAUGAAGAGCUGAAGCAACAAAAAGAGGAAUUGGAAGUGCGAGUGAGUGCACUAAAGUCUCAGUAUGAGGGGCGUCUGAGCAGACAGGAAAGGGAGCUGCGAGACCUCCGCGAGCAGCAGGAGAGACAUGGAGAACAGAGAGAUGAGCCUCCGGAGCAGGGCUCCAGCAAGACCCAGGAACCGCAAAGGACAACAGAACAGCGACAGAUCUCUCUGAAGUCUACACCAGUGGCAGAAAGAGGAAGUGCAAGCACUUCAGAGCCUCCAACUGCUAACAUAAAGCCCACGCCACUGGCAGCAACCCCCAGCAAGCCUCCAGCCAUUCCAGGAAACAAAUCCACACCAAGGGCCAGCAUUAAACCCAUGAUCACUCCUGCCCCAGUGCCCACCCCUACACCCACCGCCACAGUCAUGCCCACCACGCAGGUGGAGAGCCAAGAGCCUAUGCAGUCAUCCGAAGGCCCGCUUGAGCAUGUGACUGUGUAUGGCAGUGCCAGCGGUUCAGUGCGGUCCACUAGCCCUAAUGUUCAGACCACCCUGGCUCAACCUCUGCUGAACGUUCAACAGCAGAGCCAGGCCACUGCGUUCAUCCAACCCACCCAGCAACAAACCCAACCCCCUGCUGAACCAUCCAAUCAGGAACCUCCAGCUGCUGUAAUGCUCCCAAACUCACAGUUAGACAGGCCUCUUUCUACAUCCACAGGGAUCUGGAGUGCCACCGCUAGCACAAGCAGUGCCAGUGCAGUGUCUGCAUCUCCUAGUAGUGCCUUGAGCAAACGCCCCCGUGAAGAGGAGCAAGAGAGCAUGUCUGCUGACACACAAUCCCAGGAUGAGCCUAGUGACACUCCCAUUUGCAAGAGGGUUCGCAUUCAUAGAGUAGGUCUAGAGGAAGAGAUGUUGGCUGAAGACAGCACUGAGGCUGAGUGCGUUGUACCAGGUGAGAGCCAAGAGGCUCCUGACGCUGGACAAGUUAUGGAGUUGGAGAGCUACGGUACUUUGGAGGAGAUGGAUGAGGAACCAGGACCGUCUCAGUCUGUCCCUGGAGACCGACUUCUGCCCCAUCCCUCUGAGACCCAUCGAAGCCCGGAGGAGCCUGAUCAUCAUGUCAUAGUCAUUGUUAGUGACACAGAUAGUGAGGGAGACCAUGAAGAGGAGUCUGAGGAGGAGGAGGAGGAGGAAGAGGAGCAGGAUUACGAGGAGGAGGAUGAGGAAGAGGAGGAGGAAGAUGAUGACGAUGAGGAGGAUGGCGGUAUUGGGGAAGAGGGAGAAGAGAGCAAUGAAGGGAGCGGCAGCAGAGAUGGCAAUGAGGCCUACGAGGGGGACGACACAGAGAAGUAAAAAGAAACUCAACAAAACACUUUAAAGACCGACAGCCGGAUCAAAUGAAAGAGUUCAAGCAGCUGCAGGCUGAGGAAGAUCAUGAAGCACCAACAAACCCUAAAACAGACAACAGUGUACCAUUUGUUUUUUAGCGGCAGCAGAAAUAUGACAAACUUUUGGGUGAAACUUGUUUAACUUUUUUCAUACUUUUAUUACUUGUGGAAAACCUUGAAACAAUUUUAAAUGAGCAUAAAGAAUGGCAUUGAUAUUUGUACAGUUUAUUUUUGUUUAACUUUUAUUAAUAAAAAAUGUUUUUUAAUUAGCAUGUUUUUGUGUUUUGCUUUGGUACCGAAAUUGGUACAGAGAAUCGUGGAUUUUCACUGGUAUUGGUACCGAAUACUGAAAUUUUGGUACUGUGACAACACUAAUUGUGAGACAUUACAAUUUAAGAUCUUUUCUAUUUUACUAUAUGUAAUUUAUUCCUGUCAUGGCAAAGCUACAUUUUCAGCAGCCAUUUCCCAUGUCUUCAGUGUCAUAUGAUCUUUCAGAAAUCUGUUUAAUAUGCUGAUUUUGUGCUCAGGAAACAUUUCUUAUACAUGUUCUUAUCAAUUAAAUUUUUGUGGAAAUGUUACACUAUUAUUCUUUGAGGGGGAAAAAAAAAAGUUCAAAAGAACAGAAAUAUUUUUUAACUUUAUAAAUAUCUUUUCUGUCACUCUGAUCAAGAAUUGAACAAAAGUACUAAUUAUUCUUAAAUACUUUUGAACAGAUUGAUAAUCAGUCUAAAAUUAUGUUCUCUGCAUGGUUUUUGUUGCAAAGCUUGUGCUGGACUAAUGAAAUUUCCUUCAUGUGAAUGGGUAUCAAUGGAGUGUUGUUCAGUAAAUUCUCUUUCCCAUCAUUCCAAUUAAACAUCCUUUGGGAUGCGGUCAUUGCAUUGAAAGUGAGUCAGUUCUUCAAUUCAGUUUGCCCAACCCUAGUAGACAUGAGUGGUUUUAGUGCAGCAUAAACGCCUACAUUUGGACUGAGCAUCAGAGAUGUUUACGAAAGCACAUGUUUCCGAUGUGAGCUGUCUCAUGCCGUUUUAAUGAUCCAGCUGCAACUUGCCAUUAUGCAAUGUAUUUAUGAAUAGCUGUUGCAACAGCCUUUACACAUGAUUUAUGAUAAUAACAAAGUCAUUAAAAUCCAUUCUGCUUCAAAUAGCUUCAGACAAACAUUCCCUGUUUAUGUAUGAAUCAAAAUGUAAUGCCCAUGAAAUUAAAUAGAAAUGUUCUUCCCGCUAAUUCCCG